GUGAGGAAUAUUGCGCAAUGGAGGCAACUCUGACGCAGCCAUGCCGCGUGCAGGAAGAAGGCGCUACGCGUUGUAAACUGCUUUUAACCGGGAAGAAACCCCAGGACGUGUCCUGGGUUGACGGUACCGGAGGAAUAAGCACCGGCUAACUUCGUGCCAGCAGCCGCGGUAAUACGAAGGGUGCAAGCGUUAUCUGGAUUCAUUGGGUUUAAAGGGUGCGUAGGCGGAGCGUUAAGUCAGUGGUGAAAUCCUGCAGCUUAACUGUAGACUUGCCAUUGAUACUGGCGCUCUUGAGUGCGCUUGAAGUUGGCGGAAUGUGCCGUGUAGCGGUGAAAUGCUUAGAUAUGGCACAGAACACCAAUUGCGAAGGCAGCUCACUAAGGCGAUACUGACGCUGAGGCACGAAAGCGUGGGGAUCGAACAGGAUUAGAAACCCUGGUAGUCC
RNAcentral lists this ribosomal RNA (445 nucleotides) under uncultured bacterium. RNAcentral's name for it is "partial 16S ribosomal RNA". It matches the Rfam family "Bacterial small subunit ribosomal RNA", at positions 354 to 796 of the family's 1533-position model. The record is from RNAcentral.